UCGCUCAACGGAUAAAAGCUUCGCCGGGGAUAACAUGCUUAUCUCCCCCCAGAGUCAUCAUCGACGGGGAGGUUUGGCACCUCGAUGUCGGCUCAUCGCAUCCUGGGGCUGUAGUCGGUCCCAAGGGUUUGGCUGUUCGCCCAUUAAAGCGGUACGCGAGCUGGGUUCAGAACGUCGUGAGACAGUUCGUUCCCUAUCCGUCGUUGGCGUAGGAAAUUUGAGAGGAGCUGUCCUUAGU
Molecule: ribosomal RNA, 238 nt
Filed under: Bacillus cereus group sp. N3
Lineage: Bacteria; Bacillati; Bacillota; Bacilli; Caryophanales; Bacillaceae
Description: partial 23S ribosomal RNA
Rfam family: Bacterial large subunit ribosomal RNA
Source: RNAcentral